UAUUGGGUACUGAAACGAUGACCCGAAUCUUGGUUUUUGAUAGGGCUUUGAGGAUUUCCGGGUCGGAAUCAUAGAUACGGAUAUGGGUUACCUUUUGUUGUUGCAAGAAUGACACUAAUUUUGCAGGUGGAAGUAAAUUUGAGACAUCUGUUCCUAUGUUAACUCCCACAUAAGGUUCGUCUUUAGCUUGUUGUGCUUUAACCUCUGCAUAUAAAUAGAAAAUGGCAUUAGGGUUCUUCAAUUUGUGCAUAAGAGAGUAAAAUUUUGAAAUUUCGAAGUGGGGUGUGUGGAUUUGAUUGUGUUUAAGGUGAGUUUCUUGAAUUUUGUGUCAAAAAGCUGUGUUUGUUGAUUGGGUACUGUAAAUUUAUAAUCUUGGAAUAAAAGGGAUUGAUUAAACUAGGUUUUCUGAAGCUGUAAAGUGGAAAUUUGAGUUGUGUAAGUACCUGGUAAUGCAGCAGAGAAGACGAAGGAGAAGAUGAGCAAGAAAGAAGGGAGACUAAGAACCGCCAUUAAAGAGAAGCUUAAGGUCUGCAAGUUUCAUGUUCUAUGAGUGGCAGUUGAACAAGAGCUUGCAUCCUAGCAACUUGGGCAGGAAAUCUU
RNAcentral lists this long non-coding RNA (600 nucleotides) under Lactuca sativa (garden lettuce). RNAcentral's name for it is "long non-coding RNA (LSAT_LNC007038)". The record is from RNAcentral. Lineage: Eukaryota; Viridiplantae; Streptophyta; Magnoliopsida; Asterales; Asteraceae.